RNAcentral lists this ribosomal RNA (144 nucleotides) under Vibrio parahaemolyticus. RNAcentral's name for it is "partial 16S ribosomal RNA". It matches the Rfam family "Bacterial small subunit ribosomal RNA", at positions 1 to 125 of the family's 1533-position model. The record is from RNAcentral. Lineage: Bacteria; Pseudomonadati; Pseudomonadota; Gammaproteobacteria; Vibrionales; Vibrionaceae.
UUAAAUUGAAGAGUUUGAUCAUGGCUCAGAUUGAACGCUGGCGGCAGGCCUAACACAUGCAAGUCGAGCGGAAACGAGUUAUCUGAACCUUCGGGGAACGAUAACGGCGUCGAGCGGCGGACGGGUGAGUAAUGCCUAGGAAAU